This 714-nucleotide long non-coding RNA is filed under the name Vigna radiata. RNAcentral describes it as "long non-coding RNA (VRAD_LNC010399)". The record is from RNAcentral. Lineage: Eukaryota; Viridiplantae; Streptophyta; Magnoliopsida; Fabales; Fabaceae.
AUCCAUCCUUAGUGUUUUCUAUUGCUUCACUUUAUUUGUACAUAUAUUCAAUGCAGUAAUGACAGGAGAAGGUAAAGACCGUCCUGAUAAAGGAAAGGGGAUAGCCAAGCCUAAAAAAAGGCAACGGACCGCAAAGUAUGUACUUAGGGUGCGUGAUGCACUACCUACCCCUACUCCUGCAGUACACCCUCCCCCUACUCAUACAGUAAACCCUCCUCCUCCUACCCCUGCAGUACACCCUCCUCCUCCUACCCCUGCAGUANAUGAGAACCCAACAAUUGAUAAUCAAAGCAUAUGAAGAAUCAUAUAAAUAAACAAGAGUUUCAAUAAAAGAGAGUUUCAAAAGAUUACAUUGUUUCCCCCAACAACAAAAGGGUUUAGUUCACCAUUGUCAUGGUGAACCUAGAUGAAAAUAAUGGAAGAAUGGAAGAGCAAACCCAAGAUAAGAUGAAAAGAAGCCUAAGCAUCCAAGAGAUCUUCUCCAAGGAGUGAAAAUUGGUCUGGUCGCCCUCUUCUGUCAAAAAAAUGAGAAUGAAAUCGCAACAGGGCUAUUUAUAGCUGAGGAGCGUCAUAGAAAACAGGCCCAGGUCCAGCGGACAACCGCUCGGCAGCACACUUAUGCCGCCCGGCGGUUUGCUCCUAAUCGUACCACCACCCGACGGUUUUCCACUUAUCGCAAAUCCGCCCAACGUCCACGCCAGGUGCCUCCUCCUC